Molecule: unclassified non-coding RNA, 387 nt
Filed under: Basidiomycota sp.
Lineage: Eukaryota; Fungi; Basidiomycota
Description: partial contains small subunit ribosomal RNA, internal transcribed spacer 1, and 5.8S ribosomal RNA
Rfam family: Eukaryotic small subunit ribosomal RNA (bases 1-47)
Source: RNAcentral
AAAGUCGUAACAAGGUCUCCGUAGGUGAACCUGCGGAGGGAUCAUUAACACGUUUCCAAAACGUUUAUCAACCAAAUCAACGUGAACCUAAACCCAACUCCCUUAUCAGUGUGACGAACGAAUAAUCAUCAGGGUGGAGUGUAGCGAAAGCUAUACUAUGACUCGUUCUAGGGGCCCUUCGAGGCUUCAAUCCGCUGAUAAGUGUCUUUGCGACCACCUGGCAGUCUACAUUCGUGUAGCGUUCUGCCGAAUAUUUCACAACAAUUUUUAACCCCUUUCACAACAUACUAAUAACUGAACCAUUUUUUUCUAGCAUGUCCUUGUGAUAUGUUGAAAAAAGAUAUACGUAAUGCUGAACAACUCUUAGCAAUGGAUAUCUUGGUUCUC